UGAUAAAUGAUUUUAUUAUGAUUAUUUUUAUAUUACAAUAUAUAAUUCAAACAGUAAUAAAUGGUAAAAAUAAUUGUUACUGGAAAUUCUUAAUUCUAUUACUUGAGACUUAUCACAAUAUAUAGAUUGAUUUUGCUGUAACUUACAAGGAAUUAAUUAACUAUAAUAAACUUGAGUCUGCAUUGAUUACAUGGCAUCUCUAGACAGUAAAACUGUGAUGUUGAACAUUUCUUUACCAGGGGAAUUUAUCUAAAACUGUCAUAGUAAUGGUACAUAUUUUACUGCACCAGAAGCUGUCAUAUUGAAACUUGUUUUUCUACAGAUGCAUUACUCUGCAAUGUUAAAAAUUAGGACAAAUUUCACAAAAAUUCGAAAGAGAAAAAAUACUCUUCAGUCAUGAACAUUUCAGUAAAUAACUUACAAACAAUUCUUGCAGUAUGAUUUUUUUGAAACAGCAACUGCAAUUUUUGAAAACAGGGACAUACAAUAGUGACUUAAAAAUGGUGUUAGCUGCCAUGUUAAAACUUUAUGAGGUUACUACAAAAUGGUAAAAAAACUGGCAAAGCAAGUAAGUAUCAUACUUUUUUUUAAACAGGGUGGUUAUACACAGCAUUCAGUCUAUUACUUUCAUAACUUCCAGGAGAGAUCAAAGAAUUUGAAACAAGAGUGCACACACUGAAAAGUCUUUCCUGCUUUACUCAUUAUUUUUAGUGCAAUUUUGCCUCUGAUCCUUUUGAGAGUUUCAAUCAUGUUUAAUACCAAGCUAGUCAUAAGACUUGAAACAAAAACAAUAUAUUUAGUAUUAUCUUUGUCAGUACUAUUUCACCAAUAUAAAGACUAAAAGUUACAUAAGAAAAAAGAAUAAAAAUCUUUAAAACAAUCAUACAAAAAUGUCUAUUAAUUUUAUAGAUAUAAAGAUGAUCAAAAUGAGGAAGACAUAUACCAACAGAUAAUUUAUUGAAAACCUAUGUUUUUUUUGGGGGGGGGGGGCUGAAUAUAAAUUUUGAAUGUUUCCAGAAGGAAUAAAUCGCCGAGCGCAGCUGGAUACAACCACAGAGGUCCAACCCUGAACAGUUGGGGCAAAAAUGGACACAAUAUUCGCGCUUGAUACAGGUCUGAAUUUGGAUUGUAAUUCAAUAUUUGACACAUAAUAGGUUUCUGACACAGAAUAACUGUAGUCAAAGAAAUCAGAAUUGGUUAUAUGAUUUGAAUUUAUCCAAAAAAAAUCUUUCCUUCAGUUAUGGUCAUAAUUUCAAUUCAAAUUUCCAAUGGAGUUUGCAACCAUAAUAACCAUUUAAAUACAUCUAUAAAAGUCUUGAAAUAGAAAAUGACAUACAUAAUCAUAGCUAAAAUUAAUUUACCUUCAAUCAGCAAUUUUAACUUAUUAAAAUAGUAUAUUCUAAAAAUGAAUUGACAGCUAAUCACCUCAAAACAAUACAAAAAUUCUUUAUACAUAAUUUAACAGCAGUGUAAGGGAGGUAAUUCAAAAUUCUUCGGAAUGACGACGUGAUACCAUUAUACGACCACAAAUUUUUUUGUGGUCGUAUAAAAAUGCAUACAAAAUUAAGUAAAAACUCAUUCAAGGUUUCAAAUAAAAUCAUCUUUCAAAAGCUAAAAAGCAAUAGACGGAAAAACAAACAGACAAUGGACCCAAAGUGAUGACAGAUCUUACAUGGCCUUUCAGGCCUGCUGUAAUACAAUAUUAUUUCUUUAGCAUAUAUAGAUCACUGUUUUUUCUUCUUUAGAAAGUAUGGUUAUUACGUGUCGUAAUAAUUAGUUCUAUUAACAGAUUAA
Molecule: long non-coding RNA, 1794 nt
Filed under: Mytilus galloprovincialis (Mediterranean mussel)
Lineage: Eukaryota; Metazoa; Mollusca; Bivalvia; Mytilida; Mytilidae
Source: RNAcentral